This 497-nucleotide ribosomal RNA is filed under the name uncultured bacterium. Its description in RNAcentral is "partial 16S ribosomal RNA". It matches the Rfam family "Bacterial small subunit ribosomal RNA", at positions 28 to 507 of the family's 1533-position model. The record is from RNAcentral.
GACGAACGCUGGCGGCGUGCCUAAUACAUGCAAGUUGAGCGCUGAAGGUUGGUACUUGUACCAACUGGAUGAGCAGCGAACGGGUGAGUAACGCGUGGGGAAUCUGCCUUUGAGCGGGGGACAACAUUUGGAAACGAAUGCUAAUACCGCAUAAAAACUUUAAACACAAGUUUUAAGUUUGAAAGAUGCAAUUGCAUCACUCAAAGAUGAUCCCGCGUUGUAUUAGCUAGUUGGUGAGGUAAAGGCUCACCAAGGCGAUGAUACAUAGCCGACCUGAGAGGGUGAUCGGCCACAUUGGGAAGGAGACACGGCCCAAACUCCUACGGGAGGCAGCAGUAGGGAAUCUUCGGCAAUGGACGAAAGUCUGACCGAGCAACGCCGCGUGAGUGAAGAAGGUUUUCGGAUCGUAAAACUCUGUUGGUAGAGAAGAACGUUGGUGAGAGUGGAAAGCUCAUCAAGUGACGGUAACUACCCAGAAAGGGACGGCUAACUACGUG